UUCGCCCUUAGAGUUUGAUCCUGGCUCAGGACGAACGCUGGCGGCGCGCCUAACACAUGCAAGUCGAACGAGCGAGAGAGAGCUUGCUUUCUCGAGCGAGUGGCGAACGGGUGAGUAACGCGUGAGGAACCUGCCUCAGAGAGGGGGACAACAGUUGGAAACGACUGCUAAUACCGCAUAAGCCCACAGGUCGGCAUCGACCAGAGGGAAAAGGAGCAAUCCGCUUUGAGAUGGCCUCGCGUCCGAUUAGCUAGUUGGUGAGGUAACGGCCCACCAAGGCAACGAUCGGUAGCCGGACUGAGAGGUUGAACGGCCACAUUGGGACUGAGACACGGCCCAGACAUCCUACGGGAGGCAGCAGUGGGGAAUAUUGCACAAUGGGGGAAACCCUGAUGCAGCCGACGCCGCGUGGAGGAAGAAGGUUUUCGGAUUGUAAACUCCUGUUGUUGAGGAAGAUAAUGACGGUACUCAACAAGGAAGUGACGGCUAACUACGUGCCAGCAGCCGCGGUAAAACGUAGGUCACAAGCGUUGUCCGGAAUUACUGGGUGUAAAGGGAGCGCAGGCGGGAAGACAAGUUGGAAGUGAAAUCUAUGGGCUCAACCCAUAAACUGCUUUCAAAACUGUUUUUCUUGAGUAGUGCAGAGGUAGGCGGAAUUCCCGGUGUAGCGGUGGAAUGCGUAGAUAUCGGGAGGAACACCAGUGGCGAAGGCGGCCUACUGGGCACCAACUGACGCUGAGGCUCGAAAGUGUGGGUAGCAAACAGGAUUAGAUACCCUGGUAGUCCACACCGUAAACGAUGAUUACUAGGUGUUGGAGGAUUGACCCCUUCAGUGCCGCAGUUAACACAAUAAGUAAUCCACGUGGGGAGUACGACCGCAAGGUUGAAACUCAAAGGAAUUGACGGGGGCCCGCACAAGCAGUGGAGUAUGUGGUUUAAUUCGACGCAACGCGAAGAACCUUACCAAGUCUUGACAUCCUGCGACGAUGCUGGAAACAGUAUUUUCCUUCGGGACGCAGAGACAGGUGGUGCAUGGUUGUCGUCAGCUCGUGUCGUGAGAUGUUGGGUUAAGUCCCGCAACGAGCGCAACCCUUACUGUCAGUUACUACGCAAGAGGACUUUGGCAGGACUGCCGUUGACAAAACGGAGGAAGGUGGGGAUGACGUCAAAUCAUCAUGCCCCUUAUGACUUGGGCUACACACGUACUACAAUGGCGUUAAACAAAGAGAAGCAAGCCCGCGAGGUGGAGCAAAACUCAGAAACAACGUCCCAGUUCGGACUGCAGGCUGCAACUCGCCUGCACGAAGUCGGAAUUGCUAGUAAUCGUGGAUCAGCAUGCCACGGUGAAUACGUUCCCGGGCCUUGUACUCACCGCCCGUCA
RNAcentral lists this ribosomal RNA (1381 nucleotides) under uncultured bacterium. RNAcentral describes it as "16S ribosomal RNA". It matches the Rfam family "Bacterial small subunit ribosomal RNA". The record is from RNAcentral.